This is a long non-coding RNA of Amblyraja radiata (thorny skate), 78 nucleotides long. RefSeq lists it as uncharacterized. Lineage: Eukaryota; Metazoa; Chordata; Chondrichthyes; Rajiformes; Rajidae. The transcript has 3 exons. The record is from RefSeq and is a predicted model, not a curated record.
GGCCCCUGGUUCUGUUAAUAUCCUAGUUAUAUAAUAUAAAUUAUAAUGUAAGGUAUUUUAUCAAGUAAAGAUUAAUUU